This 2191-nucleotide ribosomal RNA is filed under the name human metagenome. Its description in RNAcentral is "bacterial LSU rRNA". It matches the Rfam family "Bacterial large subunit ribosomal RNA", at positions 19 to 2013 of the family's 2925-position model. The record is from RNAcentral.
GUUCGGUGGAUGCCUUGGCAUCAGGGGCCGAUGAAGGACGUGGUGGCCUGCGAUAUUCCUCGGGGAGCCGGCUGGCGGGCUGUGAUCCGAGGGUUUCCGAAUGGGGGGACCCGGCACGAGUUAUGUCGUGUCACCUGCAUCUGAAUUGUAUAGGGUGUGGGGGGUGACGCGGGGAAGUGAAACAUCUUAGUACCCGUAGGAGAAGAUAUUCCGUGAGUAGUGGCGAGCGAAAGCGGAUGAUGGCUAAACCGUUGUCGUGUGGUGACCCGGCAGGGGCUGCGGCGGCGGGGUUGUUGGGGUGCGUCUGUUCUCAUCUCUGCCGGGGUGGGGCGCGUGUGUGGCUGGGUAGCUGAACCGUCUGGGAUGGCGGGCCGGAGUGGGUGAGAGCCCUGUAGGCGGAACCUGGUUGUGUGCGUGUAGGGCGUUCUCCCGUUGUAGCACGGGGCUCGUGGAAUCCUGUGUGAGUCUGCCAAGACCACUUGGUUGCCUGAAUACUUCCUGAUGACCGAUAGCGGAUGAGUACCGUGAGGGAAUGGUGAAAAGUACCCCGGGAGGGGAGUGAAAGAGUACCUGAAACCGUGUGCUUACAAGCCGUUAUAGCCCCCGUUGUGUGGGGUGGUGGCGUGCCUUUUGAAGAAUGAGCCUGCGAGUUAGUGUUUUGUCGCGAGGUUAACCCGUGUGGGGUAGUCGUAGCGAAAGCGAGUCUGAAUAGGGCGUUGUAGUGGCAGGAUCUAGACCCGAAGCGGAGUGAUCUAUCCAUGGCCAGGUUGAAGCACGUGUAAGAGCGUGUGGAGGACCGAACCCACCUAGGUUGAAAACUGGGGGGAUGAGCUGUGGGUAGGGGUGAAAGGCCAAUCAAACUCCGUGAUAGCUGGUUCUCCCCGAAAUGCAUUUAGGUGCAGCGUUGCGUGGUUCUUUGCGGAGGUAGAGCGACUGGAUGGCUGAUGGGCCCCACCGGGUUACUGAGGUCAGCCAAACUCCGAAUGCCGCAAAGGGGUGAGCGUGGCAGUGAGACGGCGGGGGAUAAGCUUCGUCGUCGAGAGGGAAACAGCCCAGAUCGCCGGUUAAGGCCCCUAAGCGUGUGCUAAGUGGGAAAGGAUGUGGAGUUGCUGGGACAACCAGGAGGUUGGCUUAGAAGCAGCCAUCCUUGAAAGAGUGCGUAAUAGCUCACUGGUCAAGUGGUUCCGCGCCGACAAUGUAGCGGGGCUUAAGCACACCGCCGACGCCGCGGCAGUCCAUCGUGGUCCUAGCCUGUCCGUUGGGCGGGUUCAGGGGGUGGGCUGGGUAGGGGAGCGUCCCGCGUUGGGUGAAGUCUCGGGGUGACCCGGGGUGGACGGCGUGGGAGUGAGAAUGCAGGCAUGAGUAGCGAGAGGCGGGUGAGAAACCCGUCCGCCGAUUGACUAAGGGUUCCAGGGCCAGGUUGAUCCGCCCUGGGUUAGUCGGGUCCUAAGGCGAGGCCGACGGGCGUAGUCGAUGGACAACGGGUUGAUAUUCCCGUACCGGCGCUUGACCGUUCAAUGUUCGCCGGGGUGAUGCUAACCAUCCCCGAUCCUGUGUGUCUCUUUCGGGAGGCGUGUGGGGGAGGGCGUGGGGUCCGAGCCUGGGUGGGCAAGCGUGGUAACAGGUGUGACGCAGAGUGGUAGUCCAACCGUGUCGUAUGGCUGAGCACGGCUAAGGGUGCAGCCCGUCUCCCAGGUAAAUCCGGGGGGCGUUCGGGUCAGGCCUGAUGGGGACCGUUUGACGGGAAGUGGAUGAUCCUGUGCUGCCGAGAAAAGCAUCGACGUCAGGGCAAGCGCCGCCCGUACCCGAAACCGACACAGGUGGUCAGGUAGAGUAUACCGAGGCGUGCGAGUCAAUCGUGGUUAAGGAACUCGGCAAAAUGCCCCCGUAACUUCGGGAGAAGGGGGGCCCGGGCCUUGAUGUCCCCGUGCGGGGCGGAAGGGGCGCGGGCCGCAGAGUCCAGGGAGAAGCGACUGUUUAUCAAAAACACAGGUGCGUGCUAAGCCGCAAGGCGAUGUAUACGCACUGACGCCUGCCCGGUGCUGGAAGGUUAAGCGGACUGGUCAGCCCUUCGGGGUGAAGCUGGGAAGUUAAGCCCCAGUAAACGGCGGUGGUAACUAUAACCAUCCUAAGGUAGCGAAAUUCCUUGUCGGGUAAGUUCCGACCUGCACGAAUGGCGUAACGACUUCCC